Molecule: long non-coding RNA, 284 nt
Organism: Hydractinia symbiolongicarpus
Lineage: Eukaryota; Metazoa; Cnidaria; Hydrozoa; Anthoathecata; Hydractiniidae
Exons: 3
Source: RefSeq, a predicted model, not a curated record
AGGACAUUCGAACAAACAAAAAAUGUCUGCUCCACCACUUAUGCCACAGAUUAUGCAUAUGUUUCGAUUAAACAGAAAAGCAAUCUGGAAAAACCUUGCAGCUGCACAUGUUUCCACAGCAUUUGUUCUUUAUGCUGUAUAUAAAAUUCCUGUUUCAGAAGAAGCAAAGAGAGCAUCGAAAACUUUAAACCCAUGGCAAGACUCUGGUCAUUAAAAUACAACAUAUUGUUAAAUGUUUAGAACCGGAUCGUAUACUGUUUCAUAAAUGAUAAAAAGUUGUAUUG